Non-coding RNA from Oryza nivara, 207 nucleotides. The record is from Rfam. Lineage: Eukaryota; Viridiplantae; Streptophyta; Magnoliopsida; Poales; Poaceae.
AAUGUAUGACGCCGUUAAUUUUUUUGUCCAACGUUUGACCGUUCGUUUUAUUCAAAAAAUUUAUGUAAUUAUCAUUUAUUUUAUUGUGACUUGAUUUAUCAUCAAAUGUUCUUUAAGCAUGACAUAAAACAUUUUCAUAUUUUCACAAAAAAAUUGAAUAAAACGAAUGGUCAAACGUUGCUCAAAAAGUCAACGGCGUCAUGCAUU